GAGUUUGAUCAUGGCUCAGAGCGAACGCUGGCGGCAGGCCUAACACAUGCAAGUCGAGCGCGUGUAGCAAUACACGAGCGGCAGACGGGAGAGUAACACGUGGGAACGCGCCCUUCGGUUCGGAAUAACUCAGGGAAACUUGAGCUAAUACCGGAUACGCCCUUACGGGGAAAGAUUUAUUGCCGAAGGAACGGCCCGCGUCCGAUUAGCUAGUUGGUGAGGUAACGGCUCACCAAGGCGACGAUCGGUAGCUGGUCUGAGAGGAUGACCAGCCUCACUGGGACUGAGACACGGCCCAGACUCCUACGGGAGGCAGCAGUGGGGAAUAUUGGACAAUGGGCGCAAGCCUGAUCCAGCCAUGCCGCGUGGAUGAUGAAGGCCCUAGGGUUGUAAAGUCCUUUUAACGGGGAAGAUAAUGACGGUACCCGUAGAAUAAGCCCCGGCUAACUUCGUGCCAGCAGCCGCGGUAAU
Molecule: ribosomal RNA, 471 nt
Filed under: uncultured bacterium
Lineage: Bacteria
Description: bacterial SSU rRNA
Rfam family: Bacterial small subunit ribosomal RNA
Source: RNAcentral